Podarcis lilfordi (Lilford's wall lizard) is the source of this 72-nucleotide non-coding RNA. Lineage: Eukaryota; Metazoa; Chordata; Lepidosauria; Squamata; Lacertidae. The record is from the annotation of a GenBank genome assembly.
GCCUUUGGUGCAAAGGGUCAGUGCAUCUGGCUGUUAAUCAGAAGGUUGGUGGUUAGAGCCUACCCAGGAACU